This 1845-nucleotide ribosomal RNA is filed under the name Triticum aestivum (bread wheat). RNAcentral's name for it is "partial small subunit ribosomal RNA". Lineage: Eukaryota; Viridiplantae; Streptophyta; Magnoliopsida; Poales; Poaceae. The record is from RNAcentral.
AUGAUGCUGGGAGGGAUGGCCGACGUGGCUAAGACAUAUGAAAGCGGAGAUGGGUCCGUCACUACAAAUGACAGGGGUGCUGUGGAGGGCGAUGAUGGAUGGCAGGCGAUCGAGGAUGACGGGUCAAACCUGCUGGUUACUGUAUGUACAUCUAUCCAUGGUGCAUCAGUGCGAGACGCAACCAGCAUACACCAUGGGAGCAGUCUUGUCGUCCAACUCCUACCCCGCCGUCCUCGACGCCGCCAGCUGGCUCCAGACGUCGUGGCCGACUACUACUGGCACCACCUCUUGCUCGCCAUCAUAGCGCUCGGGGUCUUGUAUGCAUGCCUCUCUCGACGAAACCAGCCAGCCUUGCGAGCGGUCUGGCCGUCGUCCUACGCCGCCGUCGUCCACGCAUCGACCAAGAACCACACGCAGAAACGGAGUUCAAACGUCGCUCCAGAUGCCGCCGUCAAAGACGACGACUACUGGUCUGGCCUGCCAGACGACCUCCUGUUCACCAUCAUGGCGUCGCUGGACGUCCCCAGCCUCCGGCGUGCCGGCGCCGUGUGCACAUCCUGGCGCGCCGCCCACGACGCCUUCCGCCUCCCCGCGCUGGAGCGAGCGCCGUGCCUGCUCUACGCAUGCGAGGAGUACGGACCCAACGAGGCCGCCCUCUACUGCCCAUCCACCCGCGCCACCUUCCGGGUCCCAUUCCCCGGGCCGCCGCACGAGAAGAGGGGCUUCACCUUCGCGUGCCACGGCGGCUGGGUGUUCACCGCUGAUGAGGUCGGCGACCCCUACCUGCUCAACCCCGUCACCGGCGCCCGGGCCAUGCUCCCUCCGGUCAAAACAAUCUAUCACAACGACGAAUUCUACGACGACGAUGGCAGGUGUGUCUGGCCUGCUGAACCCGAGUACGGAAUCAUGAAACCCACCAUUAGCUGGGCGCGACACUCAGAGUAUCUUCGGGUCGCCAUCUCCGCCGCCGCCGACGUGACGGAAUGCACCGUCGUGAUCUUGCACAUGCCGGAGUGGAGGCUCUCCUUUGCCAGGCCGGGAGACGACCGUUGGACACUGGUCUCCAAGCAAACAAGCUUCUUGAGCGAUAUUUUUUACAAUGACAAGAAUGGCUUGUUCUACAUUCUUGGCUUGGACGAUUGCUCUGUUAGUACUUUAGAUCUAAGUGGGCCCUCACCGUCUGUGAACAAGAGCAUGCGCGGUGUGGCACAAGAUUCAUGCGAUUUUCUUACCAAGUAUCUCACUCUUGGGCCAUCCGGCGAACCCUUGGAGGUCUGGAGGAACUGGAGUCACACAAAUACCCCACUCAAAGAUCGCCAGACUUAUCAUGACAUUGUGAACAAACUGUUUCAAGAUUGCGUAGAUCUCGCCAACGAAGAUGGCAACAACAAUAAGCCAAGUGAUUAUCUAGGGAUAGAUGACCACCAAGAACUCGAACCAUAUGAAGCCAAUGAAAAUGACCAAGAGAUUGAUGCGUCGGAACUGCUUCGCGAGGGCAUUGACUUGCCACAUCGACUUGUCGACGAGGUCAUCACGGAGGACAUCCUAGUCUUCAAGGUUGACGUCGAUAGACAGAAGCUGGUGGAGCUAAGGGACAUUGGGGACCACACGCUCUUCGUGGGGCUUAACUCUGUUGUUUGCCUUCCGACCAAGGACUUUCCAGCUUUCGAGCCAAAUUGCGCCUACCUCACGGACGACUGUUUCGACUACAGCCCAAUGUUACGGAAGGACAUUGGCAUCUGGAACAUCAAGAAUAGGAGUAUGCAAAAACUUAGCGAUGCUUGGCCAAACAUGUAUCCUUGGCUACAUUUACCGGCUCCAGUUUGGAUCACGCCAAGGUUUUAG